AUGUGAUGACAGAGUUUCCGACGCCGUUGGCGUGACGAAAACGAUGCGUGCCGAGACAUCCGUGAACUCAUCUUUGCUCCGACCUGAUGUAUA
RNAcentral lists this small nucleolar RNA (93 nucleotides) under Trypanosoma cruzi. RNAcentral's name for it is "C/D small nucleolar RNA (snoRNA)". Lineage: Eukaryota; Euglenozoa; Kinetoplastea; Trypanosomatida; Trypanosomatidae. The record is from RNAcentral.